RNAcentral lists this ribosomal RNA (329 nucleotides) under uncultured eukaryote. RNAcentral describes it as "partial 18S ribosomal RNA". It matches the Rfam family "Eukaryotic small subunit ribosomal RNA", at positions 1470 to 1796 of the family's 1831-position model. The record is from RNAcentral.
CCCUUAGAUGUUCUGGGCCGCACGCGCGCUACACUGAUGCAUUCAACGAGUCUAAAACCUGCUCUGAUAGGGGUGGGUAAUCUUUUGAAUGUGCAUCGUGAUUGGGAUAGAUGAUUGCAAUUUUUCAUCUUCAACGAGGAAUGCCAAGUAAACGCAAGUCAUCAGCUUGCAUUGAUUACGUCCCUGCCCUUUGUACACACCGCCCGUCGCUCCUACCGAUUGAAUGAUCCGAUGAAUAUCAUGGAUUGAGGAUUAUAGCAGGUUCGCCUGUCUUGAUCUUCGAGAAGUGAAGUAAAUCUUAUCAUUUAGAGGAAGGAGAAGUCGUAACA